Molecule: ribosomal RNA, 253 nt
Filed under: uncultured bacterium
Lineage: Bacteria
Description: partial 16S ribosomal RNA
Rfam family: Bacterial small subunit ribosomal RNA
Source: RNAcentral
UACGAAGGGGGCUAGCGUUGCUCGGAAUCACUGGGCGUAAAGCGCACGUAGGCGGAUUGCUAAGUCAGGGGUGAAAUCCUGGAGCUCAACUCCAGAACUGCCCUUGAUACUGGCGGUCUCGAGUCCGAGAGAGGUGAGUGGAACUGCGAGUGUAGAGGUGAAAUUCGUAGAUAUUCGCAAGAACACCAGUGGCGAAGGCGGCUCACUGGCCCGGUACUGACGCUGAGGUGCGAAAGCGUGGGGAGCAAACAGG